RNAcentral lists this ribosomal RNA (253 nucleotides) under uncultured bacterium. RNAcentral's name for it is "partial 16S ribosomal RNA". It matches the Rfam family "Bacterial small subunit ribosomal RNA", at positions 524 to 776 of the family's 1533-position model. The record is from RNAcentral.
UACAGAGGGUGCGAGCGUUAAUCGGAUUUACUGGGCGUAAAGAGCGCGCAGGCGGUCGUUCAAGUCGCGUGUGAAAGCCCCCGGCUCAACUGGGGAGGGUCACGCGAUACUGAUCGACUCGAAGGCAGGAGAGGGUAGUGGAAUUCCCGGUGUAGUGGUGAAAUGCGUAGAUAUCGAGAGGAACACCUGCGGCGAAGGCGGGUUGCUGGGCUGACACUGACGCUGAACUGCGAAAGCUAGGGGAGCGAACGGG